RNAcentral lists this ribosomal RNA (496 nucleotides) under uncultured bacterium. Its description in RNAcentral is "partial 16S ribosomal RNA". It matches the Rfam family "Bacterial small subunit ribosomal RNA", at positions 27 to 507 of the family's 1533-position model. The record is from RNAcentral.
GGGGGGGGGGGGGGGGGGCGGGGUGGGUGGGGGGCUGGGGGGCGGACGGGGGUGUGGCUUUGCGGGUGUUAGCGGCGGCCGGGUGGGUGACCCGUGGCGAGCCUACCUCUAAGACUUGGGUGACUUCGGGACACCGGAGCUGAUACCGGCUCAUAUUUUGAGCCUCCUGAUUCCAGCGUGGACGACGGUCUUGCUAUCACUUCUCUAUCGCACCGCGCUGCCUUAGAUAGUUGGUACGGUAACGUCUUCCCAAGGCAACUAUGCAUCGCCGACCUUAGAGGGUGAUCGGCCAAACUGGAACUGAGACACGGUCCAGACUCCUACGGGAGGCAGCAGUAGGGAAUCUUCCGCAAUGGGCGAAAGCCUGACGGAGCAACGCCGCGUGAGUGAUGAAGGUCUUCGGAUCGUAAAACUCUGUUAUUAGGGAAGAACAUAUGUGUAAGUAACUGUGCACAUCUUGACGGUACCUAAUCAGAAAGCCACGGCUAACUACGUG